AGGUAAGCUACUAAGAGCGAAUGGUGGAUGCCUUGACUGGUAAAGGCGAUGAAGGACGUACUAGACUGCGAUAAGCUACGGGGAGCUGUCAAGAAGCUUUGAUCCGUAGAUUUCCGAAUGGGGCAACCCAAUGUAUAGAGAUAUACAUUACCUAUAUAGGAGCGAACGAGGGGAAUUGAAACAUCUUAGUACCCUCAGGAAAAGAAAUCAAUAGAGAUUGCGUCAGUAGCGGCGAGCGAAAGCGCAAGAGGGCAAACCCAGUGCUUGCACUGGGGGUUGUAGGACUGCAAUGUGCAAGAGGUAAGUUUAGCAGAACAUUCUGGAAAGUAUAACCAUAGAGGGUGAUAGUCCCGUAUGCGAAAAACAAACCUUAGCUAGCAGUAUCCUGAGUAGGGCGGGACACGAGGAAUCCUGUCUGAAUCCGGGUCGACCACGAUCCAACCCUAAAUACUAAUACCAGAUCGAUAGUGCACAAGUACCGUGAGGGAAAGGUGAAAAGAACUGAGGUGAUCAGAGUGAAAUAGAACCUGAAACCAUUUGCUUACAAUCAUUCAGAGCCCUAUGUAGCAAUACAGGGUGAUGGACUGCCUUUUGCAUAAUGAGCCUGCGAGUUGUGGUGUCUGGCAAGGUUAAGCAAACGCGAAGCCGUAGCGAAAGCGAGUCUGAAUAGGGCGCUUAGUCAGAUGCUGCAGACCCGAAACGAAGUGAUCUAUCCAUGAGCAAGUUGAAGCUAGUGUAAGAACUAGUGGAGGACUGAACCCAUAGGCGUUGAAAAGCCCCGGGAUGACUUGUGGAUAGGGGUGAAAGGCCAAUCAAACUUCGUGAUAGCUGGUUCUCUCCGAAAUAUAUUUAGGUAUAGCGUUGUGUCGUAAUAUAAGGGGGUAGAGCACUGAAUGGGCUAGGGCAUACACCAAUGUACCAAACCCUAUCAAACUCCGAAUACCUUAUAUGUAAUCACAGCAGUCAGGCGGCGAGUGAUAAAAUCCGUCGUCAAGAGGGAAACAACCCAGACUACCAGCUAAGGUCCCUAAGUCUUACUUAAGUGGAAAACGAUGUGAAGUUACUUAAACAACCAGGAGGUUGGCUUAGAAGCAGCCAUCCUUUAAAGAAAGCGUAAUAGCUCACUGGUCUAGUGAUUUUGCGCGGAAAAUAUAACGGGGCUAAAGUAAGUACCGAAGCUGUAGACUUAGUUUACUAAGUGGUAGGAGAGCGUUCUAUUUGCGUCGAAGGUAUACCGGUAAGGAGUGCUGGAGCGAAUAGAAGUGAGCAUGCAGGCAUGAGUAGCGAUAAUUAAUGUGAGAAUCAUUAACGCCGUAAACCCAAGGUUUCCUACGCGAUGCUCGUCAUCGUAGGGUUAGUCGGGUCCUAAGUCGAGUCCGAAAGGGGUAGACGAUGGCAAAUUGGUUAAUAUUCCAAUACCAACAUUAGUGUGCGAUGGAAGGACGCUUAGGGCUAAGGGGGCUAGCGGAUGGAAGUGCUAGUCUAAGGUCGUAGGAGGUUAUACAGGCAAAUCCGUAUAACAAUACUCCGAGAACUGAAAGGCUUUUUGAAGUCUUCGGAUGGAUAGAAGAACCCCUGAUGCCGUCGAGCCAAGAAAAGUUUCUAAGUUUAGCUAAUGUUGCCCGUACCGUAAACCGACACAGGUGGGUGGGAUGAGUAUUCUAAGGCGCGUGGAAGAACUCUCUUUAAGGAACUCUGCAAAAUAGCACCGUAUCUUCGGUAUAAGGUGUGGUUAGCUUUGUAUUAGGAUUUACUCCGAAAGCAAGGAAACUUACAACAAAGAGUCCCUCCCGACUGUUUACCAAAAACACAGCACUCUGCUAACUCGUAAGAGGAUGUAUAGGGUGUGACGCCUGCCCGGUGCUCGAAGGUUAAUUGAUGGGGUUAGCAUUAGCGAAGCUCUUGAUCGAAGCCCGAGUAAACGGCGGCCGUAACUAUAACGGUCCUAAGGUAGCGAAAUUCCUUGUCGGUUAAAUACCGACCUGCAUGAAUGGCGUAACGAGAUGGGAGCUGUCUCAAAGAGGGAUCCAGUGAAAUUGUAGUGGAGGUGAAAAUUCCUCCUACCCGCGGCAAGACGGAAAGACCCCGUGGACCUUUACUACAGCUUGACACUGCUACUUGGAUAAGAAUGUGCAGGAUAGGUGGGAGGCUUUGAGUAUAUGACGCCAGUUGUAUA
RNAcentral lists this ribosomal RNA (2176 nucleotides) under Campylobacter jejuni. RNAcentral describes it as "partial 23S ribosomal RNA". It matches the Rfam family "Bacterial large subunit ribosomal RNA", at positions 1 to 2181 of the family's 2925-position model. The record is from RNAcentral. Lineage: Bacteria; Pseudomonadati; Campylobacterota; Epsilonproteobacteria; Campylobacterales; Campylobacteraceae.